GACGAACGCUGGCGGCGUGCUUAACACAUGCAAGUCGAACGGAAAGGCCCUGCUUUUGUGGGGUGCUCGAGUGGCGAACGGGUGAGUAACACGUGAGUAACCUGCCCUUGACUUUGGGAUAACUUCAGGAAACUGGGGCUAAUACCGGAUAGGAGCUCCUGCUGCAUGGUGGGGGUUGGAAAGUUUCGGCGGUUGGGGAUGGACUCGCGGCUUAUCAGCUUGUUGGUGGGGUAGUGGCUUACCAAGGCUUUGACGGGUAGCCGGCCUGAGAGGGUGACCGGCCACAUUGGGACUGAGAUACGGCCCAGACUCCUACGGGAGGCAGCAGUGGGGAAUAUUGCACAAUGGGCGGAAGCCUGAUGCAGCAACGCCGCGUGCGGAAUGACGGCCUUCGGGUUGUAAACCGCUUUCGCCUGUGACGAAGCGUGAGUGACGGUAAUGGGUAAAGAAGCACCGGCUAACUACGUGC
RNAcentral lists this ribosomal RNA (469 nucleotides) under uncultured bacterium. RNAcentral describes it as "partial 16S ribosomal RNA". It matches the Rfam family "Bacterial small subunit ribosomal RNA", at positions 28 to 508 of the family's 1533-position model. The record is from RNAcentral.